Molecule: ribosomal RNA, 648 nt
Filed under: uncultured marine eukaryote
Lineage: Eukaryota
Description: SSU rRNA
Rfam family: Eukaryotic small subunit ribosomal RNA
Source: RNAcentral
CGGUUAAAAAGCUCGUAGUUGGAUCUCGGCGGGCAGGGGGUGGUUCGCUCUUCAGCGCUACUGCCCCGCUUUGCCCGUGUGAUUGGCGGAGGUUUCGGGGUGCUCUUCGUUGAGUGACUCGGAGCGCCGUCAGGUUUACUUUGAAAAAAUUAGAGUGCUCAAAGCAGGCUUUUCACGCUUGAAUAUUCGUGCAUGGAAUAAUGGAAUAGGAACUCGUUUCUAUUUUGUUGGUUUUCGGAAAUCGAGUUAAUGAUUAACAGGGACAAUUGGGGGCAUUAGUAUUCAGACGACAGAGGUGAAAUUCUUGGACCGUCUGAAGACUGACUACUGCGAGAGCAUUUGCCAAGAGUGUUUUCAUUAAUCAAGAACGAAAGUUAGAGGUUCGAAGGCGAUCAGAUACCGCCCUAGUCCUAACCAUAAACGAUGCCAGCUAGCGAUCUGCCGAGUUUUUUUUGUAGGCUCCGCAGGAAGCUUUCGGGAAACCAAAGCUUUUGGGUUCCGGGGGAAGUAUGGUUGCAAAGCUGAAACUUAAAGGAAUUGACGGAAGGGCACCACCAGGAGUGGAGCCUGCGGCUUAAUUUGACUCAACACGGGAAAUCUCACCAGGCCCGGACACUGGAAGGAUUGACAGAUUGAGAGCUCUUUCUC